UUGCUUUGGCAGCACAUAUACUAAAAUUGGAAUGAUACAGAUAAUAUUUAGCAUGGCCCCUGUGCAAGGAAAGUAAAAUGUGGAUAAUUAGAAUGGAACCUU
This is a non-coding RNA of Erinaceus europaeus (western European hedgehog), 102 nucleotides long. The record is from Rfam. NCBI's taxonomy places the organism in Eukaryota, Metazoa, Chordata, Mammalia, Eulipotyphla, Erinaceidae.